RNAcentral lists this ribosomal RNA (347 nucleotides) under uncultured Phyllactinia. RNAcentral's name for it is "SSU rRNA". It matches the Rfam family "Eukaryotic small subunit ribosomal RNA", at positions 20 to 370 of the family's 1831-position model. The record is from RNAcentral. Lineage: Eukaryota; Fungi; Ascomycota; Leotiomycetes; Helotiales; Erysiphaceae.
GUAGUCAUAUGCUUGUCUCAAAGAUUAAGCCAUGCAUGUCUAAGUAUAAGCAAAUUAUACCGUGAAACUGCGAAUGGCUCAUUAAAUCAGUUAUCGUUUAUUUGAUAGUAUCUUACUACUUGGAUAACCGUGGUAAUUCUAGAGCUAAUACAUGCUAAAAGCCCUGACGUCAGAAGGGGUGUAUUUAUUAGAUUAAAAACCAAUGCCCUUCGGGGCUCGAUGGUGAUUCAUAAUAACUUAACGAAUCGCAUGGCCUUGUGCCGGCGAUGGUUCAUUCAAAUUUCUGCCCUAUCAACUUUCGAUGGUAGUAUAUGGGACUACCAUGGUUUCAACGGGUAACGGGGAAU